CUUUUCGAGGUAGGAGUCGACUCCUGUGAGGUAUGGUGCUGGGUGCAGAUGCAGUGUGGCUCUGGAUAGCACCUUAUGGACAGUUGUGUCCCCAAGGAAGGAUGAGAAUAGCUACUGAAGUCCUAAAGAGCAAGCCUAACUCAAGCCAUUGGCACACAGGCAUUAGACAGAAAGCUGGAAGUUGAAAUGGUGGAGUCCAACUUGCCUGGACCAGCUUAAUGGUUCUGCUCCUGGUAACGUUUUUAUCCAUGGAUGACUUGCUUGGGUAUGGAGAGUCGGCUUGACUACACUGUGUGGAGCAAGUUUUAAAGAAGCAAAGGACUCAGAAUUCAUGAUUGAAGAAAUGCAGACCUGUUAUCCUAAACUAGGGUUUUUAAUGACCACAACAAGCAAGCAUGCAGCUUACUGCUUGAAAGGGUCUUGCCUCACCCAAGCUAGAGUGCAGUGGCCUUUGAAGCUUACUACAGCCUCAAACUUCUGGGCUCAAGUGAUCCUCAGCCUCCCAGUGGUCUUUGUAGACUGCCUGAUGGAGUCUCAUGGCACAAGAAGAUUAAAACAGUGUCUCCAAUUUUAAUAAAUUUUUGCAAUCCAU
This 592-nucleotide long non-coding RNA is filed under the name Homo sapiens (human). The record is from RNAcentral. Lineage: Eukaryota; Metazoa; Chordata; Mammalia; Primates; Hominidae.